ACGCUGGCGGCGUGCUUACACAUGCAAGUCAAGGGGGCCCGCAAGGGCAACCGGCGAACGGGUGCGUAACACGUGAGCAACCUGCCUUCGAGUGGGGGAUAGCCGGCCCAACGGCCGGGUAAUACCGCAUACGCUCUUCUGGGGGCAUCCCUGGGGGAGGAAACGUUUACGGCUCGGAGAGGGGCUCGCGGCCUAUCAGCUAGUUGGUGGGGUCACGGCUUACCAAGGCGACGACGGGUAGCUGGUCUGAGAGGAUGGCCAGCCACAUUGGGACUGAGAAACGGCCCAGACUCCUACGGGAGGCAGCAGUGGGGAAUCUUGCGCAAUGGCCGAGAGGCUGACGCAGCGACGCCGCGUGGGGGAUGAAGCAUUUCGGUGUGUAAACCCCUGUUGCUCGGGACGAACGACCUUUUUCGAGAGGUGUGACGGUACCGAGUGAGGAAGCACCGGCUAACUCCGUGCCAGCAGCCGCGGUAAUACGGAGGGUGCGAGCGUUGUCCGGAAUCACUGGGCGUAAAGGGCGCGUANGUGGUUGGAUGCNCCGGUGGUGAAAGCGCAGGGCUCAACCCUGCGUCGGCCAUCGGGACGGUCCGACUGGAGCACUGUA
This 607-nucleotide ribosomal RNA is filed under the name uncultured bacterium. RNAcentral's name for it is "bacterial SSU rRNA". It matches the Rfam family "Bacterial small subunit ribosomal RNA", at positions 33 to 653 of the family's 1533-position model. The record is from RNAcentral.